Molecule: unclassified non-coding RNA, 315 nt
Filed under: Hevea brasiliensis (rubber tree)
Lineage: Eukaryota; Viridiplantae; Streptophyta; Magnoliopsida; Malpighiales; Euphorbiaceae
Source: RNAcentral
CAUAAACAGAACUUGCAAAGAAUAAAGGAGCUAGCUACCUAGGUUGUGAACGAAGCUAUACAAGUAAAGAAAGACAAUAAUAGAAACAUAUAUCAAAGCAGCAACCUCAAAGAUUUUCAAGGUUAGAAAAAGCUUUAAUCUAGAAAGCUGGAAGAAAUCGAAGAAAACCCAAAUUUUUCUGGUCUCGUGAUUCACAUAGUAAGCGAACAGUUAUAAUGACCAAAAGAAAUCUGAGUGAGAACCCAUGACUAAGACCAGACUCUAUCCUCCCAUUUGACGAUCAAAGAGCAAGACUUUGAAAAGUAUUGAAACUAG